This 461-nucleotide ribosomal RNA is filed under the name uncultured Achromobacter sp. RNAcentral's name for it is "bacterial SSU rRNA". It matches the Rfam family "Bacterial small subunit ribosomal RNA", at positions 919 to 1382 of the family's 1533-position model. The record is from RNAcentral. Lineage: Bacteria; Pseudomonadati; Pseudomonadota; Betaproteobacteria; Burkholderiales; Alcaligenaceae.
ACCCGCACAAGCGGUGGAUGAUGUGGAUUAAUUCGAUGCAACGCGAAAAACCUUACCUACCCUUGACAUGUCUGGAAUCCCGAAGAGAUUUGGGAGUGCUCGCAAGAGAACCGGAACACAGGUGCUGCAUGGCUGUCGUCAGCUCGUGUCGUGAGAUGUUGGGUUAAGUCCCGCAACGAGCGCAACCCUUGUCAUUAGUUGCUACGAAAGGGGCACUCUAAAUGAGACUGCCGGUGACAAACCGGAGGAAGGUGGGGAUGACGUCAAGUCCUCAUGGCCCUUAUGGGUAGGGCUUCACACGUCAUACAAUGGUCGGGACAGAGGGUCGCCAACCCGCGAGGGGGAGCCAAUCCCAGAAACCCGAUCGUAGUCCGGAUUGCAGUCUGCAACUCGACUGCAUGAAGUCGGAAUCGCUAGUAAUCGCGGAUCAGAAUGUCGCGGUGAAUACGUUCCCGGGUCUU